This 301-nucleotide ribosomal RNA is filed under the name uncultured bacterium. RNAcentral describes it as "partial 16S ribosomal RNA". It matches the Rfam family "Bacterial small subunit ribosomal RNA", at positions 509 to 809 of the family's 1533-position model. The record is from RNAcentral.
CAGCCGCCGCGGGAAAACGUAGGUGGCAAGCGUUGUCCGGAAUUAUUGGGCGUAAAGCGCGCGCAGGCGGAUAGGUCAGUCUGUCUUAAAAGUUCGGGGCUUAACCCCGUGAUGGGAUGGAAACUGCCAAUCUAGAGUAUCGAAGAGGAAAGUGGAAUUCCUAGUGUAGCGGUGAAAUGCGUAGAUAUUAGGAAGAACACCAGUGGCGAAGGCGACUUUCUGGACGAAAACUGACGCUGAGGCGCGAAAGCCAGGGGAGCGAACGGGAUUAGAUACCCCAGUAGUCCCUGUCUCUUAUACA